UACGUAGGGUGCAAGCGUUAAUCGGAAUUACUGGGCGUAAAGCGUGCGCAGGCGGUUUUGUAAGUUUGUCGUGAAAUCCCCGGGCUCAACCUGGGAAUUGCGAUGAAGACUGCAAGGCUAGAAUCUGGCAGAGGGGGGUAGAAUUCCACGUGUAGCAGUGAAAUGCGUAGAGAUGUGGAGGAACACCGAUGGCGAAGGCAGCCUCCUGGGCCAGCACUGACGCUCAUGCACGAAAGCGUGGGGAGCAAACAGG
RNAcentral lists this ribosomal RNA (253 nucleotides) under uncultured bacterium. Its description in RNAcentral is "partial 16S ribosomal RNA". It matches the Rfam family "Bacterial small subunit ribosomal RNA", at positions 524 to 776 of the family's 1533-position model. The record is from RNAcentral.